This is a long non-coding RNA of Dendrobium catenatum, 510 nucleotides long. RefSeq lists it as uncharacterized. The record is from RefSeq and is a predicted model, not a curated record. The transcript is spliced from 2 exons. Lineage: Eukaryota; Viridiplantae; Streptophyta; Magnoliopsida; Asparagales; Orchidaceae.
UGUCAAUGCUCAGCUUUGCGGGGUUAGAGGAGGUGGAAGCGCUGCGGCUCAGUCACUCUUCUGGCAAGCUAAAAGUGGCCUCUCCUUCAGCUUCGCUUUUGAAUCCACGAGAGAAAGGAAUGCAGCAAUAAUGCUCGCAAGAAGAUACGCUUUUGAUUGUAAUAUUGUGCUGGCUGGGCCAAAUGAUAGGUCUUCUGGUGCAGCUUAAGUGAAGCUUAACAGUAAUACUCAGUUGCAAGCAGUGUGAAUUCUGUAACUCUGUAUGUAUGAUUGUAUUGAUGAAGUAGGCUUUGAUUUAGUGAAGAUUUGGUUGAUUUGAGAGAAGAGUAUUGAUUGGUAAGAAUGAUAGUUUAGUUUGUAUCUUAGCAGGUUCUGAUUGUUUUGGUAGCAGAAAAAGUAGGCAUGUUUUUUUAGUUGCCUUCACGAGUUUGUAAUAAUUUUUUUUUUCCGUUUAAUGUUUGAGUAUUCCUAUAACUUGCUUGAUUUAUAUAUAUAUUUUUUAUAUAUUAA